Long non-coding RNA from Eriocheir sinensis (Chinese mitten crab), 2671 nucleotides. RefSeq lists it as uncharacterized. The record is from RefSeq and is a predicted model, not a curated record. The transcript is spliced from 3 exons. NCBI's taxonomy places the organism in Eukaryota, Metazoa, Arthropoda, Malacostraca, Decapoda, Varunidae.
UGAGUAGAAAUUCGAGAAUCUAAGAGAAACCGACUGUAUUGUCCUGGAGAUUAUAAUGUAGGAGAUGUGAAGUAGGAUUGUGAGUGGGACAGGAUUGUGAUUAUUUGUUUGCGAUGUAAAGCAAAGGUAAAACCACUGGGUGUGGUAAAAUUGGGUGUUUCCAUGACUUGUAGUAGAUUAUACUAUAGGAAUGUGUUAUUAGGAUUUUGUGAAGAGAGUACAUAAUGAUUGUGAUGUAAGCAGAGAGAUACAAACCACUGCUUGUGGAACGACGAGUGUUAUUAUUAUUGGCAACAACUGAGCACAUAUUGUAGUAUUAUGUUUAAGACAUGUCGUUUGUCAUAUGUUGUAUCCAUUGCUGAAUAUGCCAGUGUUAUGAUCGUCUGAGCAUAGAAUAUUGCGUAAGGCAAUUACUUUCAUUUAAUUUUAAAUAAAUGUAUAUUAUCUUUUUCCCUUGUUUAUCCCCGAACACCAGCCUCCAAUAACAACUUAAGCCGGAUCACGCUACCAGGGAUACGAGACGGUGAGAUCAUUUAUGGAUUAAUUAAUGAGUGAUAAAAGAGUUGAUUUAAUACAAGAAAAGAAGGGUCUAAAACUGGUGGCAGCGGUGGGAUAAAUAGGGACAUGUGCUUACAGUGCUUUUGUUUAAUUUACUCUGACGAGAAAACGCCUCUUAUUUUCAUUAAGCUUUGCUCGUUUUAAGUGGCGGAAAUAAUAGUGACGAUUUAAUUAUAUAAUUAAUGGUUCUUCCGGAGGACAUGGACUUUGACGAUAUGGUAAUGGAAACUCUGGCCAACCACUGUUGUUCUGUAGUGCAAUGGGUAGCACACGCGACUCAACCGAGAAUUCAUGAGUUCCUUCCCGGGCGGAGUGGAGAGGGAUGGGCAGUCUCUCUCCACACGCGCCGCGAUCCAUUCAUCAGUGAGAGGGUGUCAGGUGACAGGCAGCGGCAGCGUCCUGCCUCUCAGGUUUGUUUGUUUUAGGAUUGUUACCCCAGGAUGGAGGGGAACACGGGGCUCUACGCCUCACAGGGUGGAGGUGUGCCGCGGCGGGCAUGCAGCCAUAGAGUGACUUUAUAAAGGCCUAACCCGCGUCCCCCAGGUUCUCUUCGCAGUGCUGAGUCCAUCCCCCUACAGGAGCUAACAGCUGGCUUGCAGCCCCUAAAUUAUGUGGUCGAGCCGGAUCAGCCCUUUCAACCCGCAAUCCAUUGGUGGAUUGUCUUCGCCAUUGUCGUGAUCCUGGUUCUUCUGCUGGUGACGUCUGCCGUGGGGUAUUCCUAUGUCCUACGCUACGCACGACGCCGCCUAAUUCCAGACUCGAACCAACUGCAGACAUUGCAAGGCGUAUCUUCUCCACCAACACCUGUGAGAUCUCAGGGGCGAGAUCUUCCGGAAGGGGAAGUAAUGUCAGGACCCAGAAAACGAGGAAACAGAGGAGUGAGAUAUACAACUGUGUAAACACCUGACAGGACAAACACUAACAAAAAGGGUGACAUAUAUAUAAGUGUAAACAUCUCAAGUACAAAAGAGGGGAAACAACGAGGGUAAAGGAAAACAGAUACCCAGAGAGGAAAGGCAGGUAUACAACUGUGUAGACAUCUGACAGGACAAACACUAACAAAAAAAGUGACAUAUAUAACAGUGUAAGCAUCUCAAGUACCAAAGAGGGGAAACAACGAGGGUAAAGGAAAACAGAUACCCAGACUCAGAUACAGAAAACAGAUGCCCAGUGGGCGUGGUCAGAAAGUGUGAACAACCAUUGAAAAAGACUCUGACCCGUGACGUCAGUCGUGGCGACAUGUUAUGAGCCAAUAAUUUAACAGAAAAAUCACUGAGGGAGUGUCUUAAGACUGACUCACGAAUAGCAGGAGAAGUAAAACAAUACAACAUAAUGAGCGAGCAGAUGGGUGUGACAGGAAGUAUUGGCCAUUGGUUAUGUAGAAAAUUAAGGGCGUGUCAAGGAUGUAAGUCCGCCUAAAGCAAAGAAAAAUGUGGCCUAGAAAUCAGUGAUAUAGGUAGACCGAGCUUGGUUCUCGCCUCAAGCAGACCUGCUACUCACUCAGCCGAGAAUGGCUGUUGUGAUCUUAAUCGUGAGUAGAAAUUCGAGAAUCUAAGGGAAACCGACUGUAUUGUCCUGGAGAUUAUAAUGUAGGAGAUGUGAAGUAGGAUUGUGAGUGGGACAGGAUUGUGAUUAUUUGUUUGCGAUGUAAAGCAAAGGUAAAACCACUGGGUGUGGUAAAAUUGGGUGUUUCCAUGACUUGUAGUAGAUUAUACUAUAGGAAUGUGUUAUUAGGAUUUUGUGAAGAGAGUACAUAAUGAUUGUGAUGUAAGCAGAGAGAUACAAACCACUGCUUGUGGAACGACGAGUGUUAUUAUUAUUGGCAACAACUGAGCACAUAUUGUAGUAUUAUGUUUAAGACAUGUCGUUUGUCAUAUGUUGUAUCCAUUGCUGAAUAUGCCAGUGUUAUGAUCGUCUGAGCAUAGAAUAUUGCGUAAGGCAAUUACUUUCAUUUAAUUUUAAAUAAAUGUAUAUUAUCUUUUUCCCUUGUUUAUCCCCGAACACCAGCCUCCAAUAACAACUUAAGCCGGAUCACGCUACCAGGGAUACGAGACGGUGAGAUCAUUUAUGGAUUAAUUAAUGAGUGAUAAAAGAGUUGAUUUAAUACAAGAAA